This 476-nucleotide ribosomal RNA is filed under the name Acanthurus olivaceus (orangespot surgeonfish). Its description in RNAcentral is "partial small subunit ribosomal RNA". It matches the Rfam family "Bacterial small subunit ribosomal RNA", at positions 788 to 1491 of the family's 1533-position model. The record is from RNAcentral. Lineage: Eukaryota; Metazoa; Chordata; Actinopteri; Acanthuriformes; Acanthuridae.
CACUAUGCCUAGCCUUAAACUUUGAUGAUAAUCUUACAACUAUCAUCCGCCUGGGAACUACGAGCAUUAGCUUAAAACCCAAAGGACUUGGCGGUGCUUUAGACCCACCUAGAGGAGCCUGUUCUAGAACCGAUAACCCCCGUUCAACCUCACCCUUCCUUGUUCUUCCCGCCUAUAUACCACCGUCGUCAGCUUACCCUGUGAAGGUUUAACAGUAAGCAAAACUGGCAGAGCCCAAAACGUCAGGUCGAGGUGUAGCGUAUGGAAGGGGAAGAAAUGGGCUACAUUCACUAACUCAGUGCACACGAAUGACACCCUGAAACACGUGUCUGAAGGAGGAUUUAGCAGUAAGCAGAAAAUAGAGCGUUCUACUGAAACUGGCCCUGAAGCGCGCACACACCGCCCGUCACUCUCCCCGAGCUAAGACUCAUCCAAUAAAUAAACACCUAUAACUGUAAAGGGGAGGCAAGUCGUAA